Molecule: long non-coding RNA, 1305 nt
Organism: Alosa sapidissima (American shad)
Lineage: Eukaryota; Metazoa; Chordata; Actinopteri; Clupeiformes; Clupeidae
Exons: 3
Source: RefSeq, a predicted model, not a curated record
AGAUGUGAAAAAAAAUAAUUUGGACAAUAAUUGACAGAUUUUGAAAUUUUUCAAAAAUCUGUCUUUUUUCCUGACCCCGAACCUUAUAUGAAAACUAAGUACUCCAAUACUAUGGAGUGGUGAAGCGUGUAAUGAGGCCCCCCCUGACUAUGGACGGCGUUGAACAUGCCAUCGCCGUCUUCACCGCUUUACCACAGCUCUUUCCCUCACAGUAAACAAAGGCACGCAGCCAAAUCGAGGCAAUCUUCCAUGUUUUAACACCCUCAGAGAACCCGGACACUUUCCUGCGCACUCAAAGCAUAUCCAGUUGUCCUGUUAGGAGAAGAAAACUGCCUUCUCGCCGUUGGAGCAACAACAUUGUGCACAUUUCCGCGCGAGAAAUUUCAUGAAACGAUCCUGUACCUCAUGGGCUGCUACUACAUUUUCCACCUACGUUACCCAAAGACUAUCUGCACACUACUCUCUGUGAUACAGACUGAAGUUGUCGGAGACACACUCCAUGAUGGCGAUGUCACCCCUUCCUACAAGAAGGCCAUUGGAGAGUGGAAGGCCUUGAAUGAACAGGUUUCACAUGUCCAACUUCCUCUUUCUUUCUCUCCCUCUUUCCCCUUAUUCUCUCCCUCUCUUACUUUUUCUCUUUCAUCUCUCUCUCUCCCCCUCUUUCUCUCACAUCCCUCUUUCUGUCACCCACUCCCCCCAACCUCUCUCUCUUUGUCUCUCAGCCCCCUCUCAACUCACUUUCCCUCUUUCUCUCUGUCCACUCUCCCUCUUUCUCUAUGUUUCACCUGUUCACUCUCUCUAACUUUCUAUCUUUCUGUCCCAUCUCUUUCCCUCCCCUUUCUCUCUUCCUCCUUCAUCUCUAUCCUUUUAUUUCUCUGCCUUCUCUUCUCCCUCAUCUUUCUCCAUCUCUCCCCCUCUAUCUUUCUCUCUCCCUCCCUUUCUCUCUCAUUCCUCCUCCCCCAGCCUAAUUGAGCAUCAUGGAGAUUUUUAUUUUAUAUUUGUUGUUUGCAACAUGUUUGCAGCCCAAGCAUAAAAACCUGUUGUGUUGGUUUGUGACUCGUAAUUCAGCAAUAAACACUUUUGAACUGCAUUUAUGGUAGCCCAUAUUGUCUUAUUUCAAGAUAGCUUUACUUAUCGUGUUCUCAAUACAAGAAAAAAAAAAUCUCAGUGUAAGCAUCAUAAGUUAUUUCUACAGGCUAAUAUGAAGCAAAACACACUUAUUUACAGUUUUUUGAUUUAAGACUUAUUGUCUACUAUAAGCAAAUAUUCCUUCCUUCCAGUUAUUGAAUAUGAGCUAUAUGGCCU